This 501-nucleotide ribosomal RNA is filed under the name uncultured bacterium. RNAcentral's name for it is "partial 16S ribosomal RNA". It matches the Rfam family "Bacterial small subunit ribosomal RNA", at positions 29 to 523 of the family's 1533-position model. The record is from RNAcentral.
AUCGAACGCUGGCGGCAUGCCUUACACAUGCAAGUCGAACGGCAGCACGGGUGCUUGCACCUGGUGGCGAGUGGCGAACGGGUGAGUAAUACAUCGGAACGUACCUUAUCGUGGGGGAUAACGCAGCGAAAGCUGUGCUAAUACCGCAUACGCCCUGAGGGGGAAAGCGGGGGAUCGCAAGACCUCGCGCGAUUAGAGCGGCCGAUGCCUGAUUAGCUCGUUGGUGGGGUAAAAGCCCACCAAGGCGACGAUCAGUAGCUGGUCUGAGAGGACGAUCAGCCACACUGGGACUGAGACACGGCCCAGACUCCUACGGGAGGCAGCAGUGGGGAAUUUUGGACAAUGGGGGCAACCCUGAUCCAGCAAUGCCGCGUGAGUGAAGAAGGCCUUCGGGUUGUAAAGCUCUUUUGUCAGGGAAGAAACACCGGCUCUAACACAGUCCGGGAAUGACGGUACCUGAAGAAUAAGCACCGGCUAACUACGUGCCAGCAGCCGCCGCCG